Pygocentrus nattereri (red-bellied piranha) is the source of this 2047-nucleotide long non-coding RNA. RefSeq lists it as uncharacterized. The transcript is spliced from 2 exons. The record is from RefSeq and is a predicted model, not a curated record. Lineage: Eukaryota; Metazoa; Chordata; Actinopteri; Characiformes; Serrasalmidae.
AGAUGCAUUACUUCAUGGUUGGACAAGUUUAUUUAUAUAGUACAUUUCAAACACAAAGGGCCUAAAACACUUGAUCAUAGGAGACAGCUACAUACAACAAGGGGAAGUAGGAGUGAAAGAAACCAUGAGGAUUGACUUCGGCCUGACUGCAGAAGUUUGAAGUUGUGUUGUCAUUCUGUAGGUCUAAGCUGGAUUUCUCUAUGACAAGAAUGAAUGUGUUUUCAAAUUCACCGCCAUCAUAUCCAAAUCGGGUUGGGGAUCUUUUUUCACAACAGGGCACAAUAGUGCUGAUUUUCAAAAAUCACAUUCAUUUUAGUAAUACAGAAAUCCAGCAUAGACCCAGAAUUCCUCUCCUGGACAUGAUGUAAACUACAGAAUUAUAUUUAAUUUCAGGUGUCUGCUGCCGGGGUGGGGAAUUGAGAGUCAAGCAGUUUCAUAAUUAUCCCACUCUAAUGCAGCUUUCAAGUUGUCUCAUUUUCCCAGCCGAGGCACUACAUGUAAUGAAUUUAAUAUAAUUUACAUGAAGUAAAGCAUGAAUAAAUAUUCUGGAUAGAAACUAAAGCAGCUGCAGCUACACAGCACCAACAUCUUAGCAAAACAAAUUUAGCAGUUCAGUAAAUAUUAACCCUUUGUUGGAACAAUAACAGCUAUUUAUGCUGUUUAAUCUGCUCUUCUGGUUUAAUAAAGUGAUCGCAAUAGCUGUUUCUGCAUUUAUUUGAUAUGUAAAGAACAUUUUCUAACAAAAUUUAACUUUAAUAAAAGUUUAGUUCCAGUUGUGUUCACUUUCAUGGGAGUGGGUGAGGUUAUAAGUUGUAUACGUUUUGGCCUCACUGUCUACCCCUGUCAUGUUGUGAAUGUAUUUUACAGUCAUUGCUGCUGGCGUGAGAUGAUCGAUCAAUCUAAUUAACAUGAGAAUAAAGGUGAUUGGCCGUUACAUUUGGGGGUUUGUAAAUGCUGUUAUAUCAGUUUUUUCAUUUCUAACCACAGAAUGCCUCUGUGUCAGUCACUUAAACCAGCUUUCUACUUCAGCAUGGUUGUUUACAUAGUGCUACUGCUCCAAUCAGUCUUCACAUUAAUUCAGUGAACUAACUUGAGGUAUUUAAGCAGUUUAGUUCCAUUAACUAUGGCUAGCCUAGUUUGUCCUUUAGUGGACAGUGCUAGGCUUGCUGGAAAGAUGGUGCAGUUACGUUCAUCCAUAAACAACUAAGUUCAACACUUCUCAAAAUAGUUGUAGCAUUUUAGACAGGGCAACACAGGACUCUUACCUGUGUGACAUUAGCACAGAAUAUGACAAACAGUGGCUAUGUGUCAGAAGACCUGUCACUCCAACUCAUCUGACCAAUAGAAACUCCCUCUUCUAAGACCUGCCCCCUGCUAAAAAAGUGGCAAAAGUCAAAAGUAAAAGAAAAAAUUUAGAAGCAAGUGUGAUUCUAGAAGUUAAAAAAAAAUCAGCAGACUUAAAAAAAAAAAAUCAGCAGAAAGUCUAAAAAGUCAGAAACAAUUGUGAAAAUGAAAUCGUAGUUAGAAAUUUACUAAACUAAAACUAUGUAGCUGCUAAUAAAAGUUGUUGGAUGUGUCAACCAGACUCUAACUGUAAAGAAGAUCGGCACGCAUUAUCAUGCAAACUGAUAAAUAAAUAUUGUUAAUUUAUCAGAGUGUCAUUUUAAUAGCUGAUUUACUUAAGUGAUUAAUCGACUUGACUGCAUAAUUCAAUCGUUUUAGAUGUAAAGUCAUUCAGAGAAGACUGGUGUGAAAUAGUGCCCUGCAGUGACACCACACAGAUGUUUGUGAUGUAGUGGUGAUGAUGGGAACCAGGUGUUGUAAUGUACAUGACCAUUACUUUUUUUUUUAUCUGAAUCAUCUAAUGAAUCUACACAUUUCUGAGUUUUUUUUCCAUGUAAUUUUGAUCAUUAACAUAGUGGUAUAUCCAAAAGCUACUUUUGCCUUACAAUGCCCUACUUUUCUGUAGUGUAUUUUUGAAAAAAAGCCAAAACACUGUAACAAAUAAAUCACUGAACAUUUUGAAUAAAAACUUCACUUUCUGUGA